Mytilus trossulus (common blue mussel) is the source of this 813-nucleotide RNA transcript. It is a transcript of the gene named tissue factor pathway inhibitor 2-like, with no coding region annotated. The record is from RefSeq and is a predicted model, not a curated record. The transcript has 3 exons. NCBI's taxonomy places the organism in Eukaryota, Metazoa, Mollusca, Bivalvia, Mytilida, Mytilidae.
AGGAGACCAGUUGAUUUUUAGUAGGAGAGGGAUAUUUUACUGAUAGAAUAUCCAUUCUUAAGAUGAAUCCUGAUGACACAUUUCUUAUCAUUUUAAUCCAUGGAAUAAUGAUUUUAAAAGAAAGUAUUUAUUCCUGAAAACAUUCAACGCGUAUCAUUUUCCCGCCAUCUCUGUAUUCAAAUCAACAUAUGAUGAAAAAAUAUAUUGACCAUUACUAACUUUUUGUUAUAUUAUUGGAAGUUAAUCAUUUAUUUUAAAGUCGCACAUGUAUUAUGCUUUAAGGGCUUAUGUCAAAGUGAUGUAUACUUCUAUGGCCAACAUGUUGUACAGUAAUUAUAGAUUGCUUCAGGAAAAAUCGGAUGUACUGUGUAUUAAAGCAGUUAAAACAUCAUUGACAAUCAGAAGUAUCAAAAAUGUUUAGAAGCAUUACACCGUGCGUGCUGUUUGUUAUGAUCGGAUUGACGUAUGCUUGGCCCCCUGCCUUCAGAGUGCCAGUUAAUUCUCGUAAGUAUUGAAAGUAUAGUAGGUAAGGACUACAAAAAAUGAAAAAAAUAAAUGAAAAAAGGUUAAAAACAUUGGAAACUAAGUUUGUUUAGAACCCCCAGAGAUACUGACGAAUAGCUGUUUCGAGGGAGAGUUAUUACACAGUUAUACAUUUGAUCGUUUCUCCAUGUCAUGCAAGAGAUUUUUCCAUCAUGGUGGAUGUAAAACUACUCCUAAUCUAUUUAAAUCAUUGGCGGCAUGCGAAGAUGCUUGUAAAACUUUGUAACAAAAUAUCAUUCUAUAUGCUAUAAAAAUGUUUCCUGUUCCUUA